RNAcentral lists this ribosomal RNA (253 nucleotides) under uncultured bacterium. RNAcentral describes it as "partial 16S ribosomal RNA". It matches the Rfam family "Bacterial small subunit ribosomal RNA", at positions 524 to 776 of the family's 1533-position model. The record is from RNAcentral.
UACGUAGGCAGCGAGCGUUGUUUGGAAUUACUGGGCGUAGAGAGUGUGUAGGCGGUGCUCCAAGUCUGUCGUGAAAUCUCCCGGCUCAACUGGGAGGGUGCGGCGGAAACUAGAGUGCUCGAGUGUUGGAGAGGUAAGCGGAAUUCCUGGUGUAGCGGUGAAAUGCGUAGAUAUCAGGAGGAACACCUGCGGUGUAGACAGCUUACUGGACCACGACUGACGCUGAGACACGAAAGCGUGGGUAGCAAACAGG